RNAcentral lists this ribosomal RNA (633 nucleotides) under Vibrio fortis. RNAcentral's name for it is "bacterial SSU rRNA". It matches the Rfam family "Bacterial small subunit ribosomal RNA", at positions 120 to 748 of the family's 1533-position model. Lineage: Bacteria; Pseudomonadati; Pseudomonadota; Gammaproteobacteria; Vibrionales; Vibrionaceae. The record is from RNAcentral.
GGGAAAUUGCCCUGAUGUGGGGGAUAACCAUUGGAAACGAUGGCUAAUACCGCAUAAUAGCUUCGGCUCAAAGAGGGGGACCUUCGGGCCUCUCGCGUCAGGAUAUGCCCAGGUGGGAUUAGCUAGUUGGUGAGGUAAUGGCUCACCAAGGCGACGAUCCCUAGCUGGUCUGAGAGGAUGAUCAGCCACACUGGAACUGAGACACGGUCCAGACUCCUACGGGAGGCAGCAGUGGGGAAUAUUGCACAAUGGGCGCAAGCCUGAUGCAGCCAUGCCGCGUGUAUGAAGAAGGCCUUCGGGUUGUAAAGUACUUUCAGCAGUGAGGAAGGCGGGUACGUUAAUAGCGUGCUCGUUUGACGUUAGCUGCAGAAGAAGCACCGGCUAACUCCGUGCCAGCAGCCGCGGUAAUACGGAGGGUGCGAGCGUUAAUCGGAAUUACUGGGCGUAAAGCGCAUGCAGGUGGUUUGUUAAGUCAGAUGUGAAAGCCCGGGGCUCAACCUCGGAAUAGCAUUUGAAACUGGCAGACUAGAGUACUGUAGAGGGGGGUAGAAUUUCAGGUGUAGCGGUGAAAUGCGUAGAGAUCUGAAGGAAUACCGGUGGCGAAGGCGGCCCCCUGGACAGAUACUGACACUC